RNAcentral lists this ribosomal RNA (693 nucleotides) under uncultured bacterium. RNAcentral's name for it is "bacterial SSU rRNA". It matches the Rfam family "Bacterial small subunit ribosomal RNA", at positions 742 to 1435 of the family's 1533-position model. The record is from RNAcentral.
GACACUGAGGCUCGAAAGCGUGGGUAGCAAACAGGAUUAGAUACCCUGGUAGUCCACGCUGUAAACGAUGUCUACUAGUCGUUGGGUCCCUUGAGGACUUAGUGACGCAGCUAACGCAAUAAGUAGACCGCCUGGGGAGUACGGCCGCAAGGUUAAAACUCAAAUGAAUUGACGGGGGCCCGCACAAGCGGUGGAGCAUGUGGUUUAAUUCGAUGCAACGCGAAGAACCUUACCUGGUCUUGACAUACACAGAAUCUUGUAGAGAUACGAGAGUGCCUUCGGGAAUUGUGAUACAGGUGCUGCAUGGCUGUCGUCAGCUCGUGUCGUGAGAUGUUGGGUUAAGUCCCGCAACGAGCGCAACCCUUGUCCUUAGUUACCAGCACUUCGGGUGGGAACUCUAAGGAUACUGCCAGUGACAAACUGGAGGAAGGCGGGGACGACGUCAAGUCAUCAUGGCCCUUACGACCAGGGCUACACACGUGCUACAGUGGUAGGUACAGAGGGCAGCUACACAGCGAUGUGAUGCGAAUCUCAAAAAGCCUAUCGUAGUCCAGAUUGGAGUCUGCAACUCGACCCCAUGAAGUAGGAAUCGCUAGUAAUCGCGGAUCAGAAUGCCGCGGUGAAUACGUUCCCGGGCCUUGUACACACCGCCCGUCACACCAUGGGAGUUGAUUGCACCAGAAGUGGUUAGCC